RNAcentral lists this ribosomal RNA (461 nucleotides) under Ixodes antechini. RNAcentral's name for it is "partial large subunit ribosomal RNA". Lineage: Eukaryota; Metazoa; Arthropoda; Arachnida; Ixodida; Ixodidae. The record is from RNAcentral.
UCUGCUCAAUGAUUUUUUAAAUUGCUGUGGUAUUUUGACUAUACGAAGGUAUUGAAAUAAGACUUUUAAUGAGUGCUAAGAGAAUGGCAGUACAAUUUUUAGCUGUCUUUUUUUUAUAAAUAAAAUUUUACUUUUUUUGUGAAGAGGCAAAAAUUUUUUUAAGGGACAAGAAGACCCUAUGAAUUUUUUUUUCUUAACUUAAUUUCAUAUUAAGUUAAGAAAAUUAGUUGGGGCGAUUAAUAAAGAUUAAAAAUCUUUGUUAACUAUCAUAACUGGAUCCAAUAAUAUUGAUUAUUUGAAUAAAAUACUCUAGGGAUAACAGCGUAAUAAUUUUGGAUAGCUCAUAUUGAUAAAAUUGAUUGCGACCUCGAUGUUGGAUUAGGAUUCUUAUUUAACGAAGAAGUUAAAAUAAGAAGUUUGUUCAACUUAUAACUUCCUACUUGAUCUGAGUUCAGACCGGA